This 439-nucleotide ribosomal RNA is filed under the name uncultured bacterium. RNAcentral describes it as "partial 16S ribosomal RNA". It matches the Rfam family "Bacterial small subunit ribosomal RNA", at positions 339 to 795 of the family's 1533-position model. The record is from RNAcentral.
CUACGGGUUGCUGCAGUGGGGAAUAUUGGACAAUGGGGGAAACCCUGAUCCAGCAAUGCCGCGCGGAGGAUGACGCAUUUCGGUGUGUAAACUCCUUUUAUAUGUCAAGAAAAUGACGGUAGCAUAUGAAUAAGCACCGGCUAACUCCGUGCCAGCAGCCGCGGUAAUACGGAGGGUGCAAGCGUUACUCGGAAUCACUGGGCGUAAAGGACGCGUAGGCGGGUUGGAAAGUCAGGUGUGAAAUCCUACAGCUUAACUGUAGAACUGCACUUGAAACUUCUAAUCUAGAGUAUGGGAGGGGGAGAUGGAAUUAGUGGUGUAGGGGUAAAAUCCGUAGAUAUCACUAGGAAUACCUAAAGCGAAGGCGAUCUCCUGGAACAUUACUGACGCUAAGGCGUGAAAGCGUGGGGAGCAAACAGGAUUAGAUACCCCAGUAGUC